This 426-nucleotide ribosomal RNA is filed under the name uncultured archaeon. RNAcentral describes it as "partial 16S ribosomal RNA". It matches the Rfam family "Archaeal small subunit ribosomal RNA", at positions 323 to 746 of the family's 1478-position model. The record is from RNAcentral.
CUACGGGAUGCUGCAGUUAGGAAACUUCUGCAAUACACGAAAGUGUGACAGAGCGAGCCAGAGUGCUUUUCUUAUAAUUAGAGAAGCUUUUACGGGAUGCAAAAAGUCCCGAGAAUAAGGACCGGGCAAGACUGGUGCCAGCCGCCGCGGUAAUCCCAGCGGUCCAAGUCGUAGCCACAAUUAUUGGGUCUAAAACAUCCGGAGCUUGCUUUGCAAGUCUCUUGUGAAAUCGGGACUCUUAAGGUUCCGGCGUGCAAGAGAUACUGCUUAGCUUGAGACCGGGAGAUGUAAAGAGUACGUUUAGAGUAGCGGUAAAAUGCGUUGAUCCUUAACGGACUAACAACAGCGAAGGCACUUUACGAGAACGGAUCUGACAGUGAGGGAUGAAGGCUAGGGGCGCAAAGUGGAUUAGAUACCCCCGUAGUC